CGGGUCGACACGGGGUGUCCUGCGUACAGGGCUGAGAUCACACCCGUUGAACCUGAUCCAGUUCACACUGGCGAAGGGAUGUCAGUCGCAGCCUGA
This 96-nucleotide non-coding RNA is filed under the name Marinobacter sp. Its description in RNAcentral is "TPP sequence". It matches the Rfam family "TPP riboswitch aptamer (THI element)". Rfam says of the family: Vitamin B(1) in its active form thiamin pyrophosphate (TPP) is an essential coenzyme that is synthesised by coupling of pyrimidine and thiazole moieties in bacteria. Lineage: Bacteria; Pseudomonadati; Pseudomonadota; Gammaproteobacteria; Pseudomonadales; Marinobacteraceae. The record is from RNAcentral. RNAcentral also lists the same sequence under 1 other name.